UACAGGGGGUGCAAGCGUUGCUCGGAAUCACUGGGCGUAAAGCGAGCGCAGGCGGACCGUUAAGUCGGGUGUGAAAUCCCGGGGCUCAACCCCGGAACUGCAUUCGAAACUGGCGGCCUUGAGUACGGGAGAGGUGAGUGGAAUUCCUGGUGUAGAGGUGAAAUUCGUAGAUAUCAGGAGGAACACCGGUGGCGAAAGCGGCUCACUGGCCCGAUACUGACGCUCAUGCUCGAAAGCGUGGGGAGCAAACAGG
This 253-nucleotide ribosomal RNA is filed under the name uncultured bacterium. Its description in RNAcentral is "partial 16S ribosomal RNA". It matches the Rfam family "Bacterial small subunit ribosomal RNA", at positions 524 to 776 of the family's 1533-position model. The record is from RNAcentral.